UACGGGGGGGGCAAGCGUUGUUCGGAAUUACUGGGCGUAAAGGGCUUGUAGGUGGCCAACUAAGUCAAACGUGAAAUCCCUCAGCUUAACUGGGGAACUGCGUCUGAUACUGGAUGGCUUGAGUUUGGGAGAGGGAUGCGGAAUUCCAGGUGUAGCGGUGAAAUGCGUAGAUAUCUGGAGGAACACCGGUGGCGAAGGCGGCAUCCUGGACCAACACUGACACUGAGGAGCGAAAGCCAGGGGAGCAAACGGG
Molecule: ribosomal RNA, 253 nt
Filed under: uncultured bacterium
Lineage: Bacteria
Description: partial 16S ribosomal RNA
Rfam family: Bacterial small subunit ribosomal RNA
Source: RNAcentral